AGCGAACGCUGGCGGCAGGCCUAACACAUGCAAGUCGAACGAACUCUUCGGAGUUAGUGGCGGACGGGUGAGUAACACGUGGGAACGUGCCUUUUGGUUCGGAAUAACUCAGGGAAACUUGUGCUAAUACCGAAUGUGCCCUUCGGGGGAAAGAUUUAUCGCCAUUAGAGCGGCCCGCGUCUGAUUAGCUAGUUGGUGAGGUAACGGCUCACCAAGGCGACGAUCAGUAGCUGGUCUGAGAGGAUGACCAGCCACACUGGGACUGCGACCCGGCCCAGACUCCUACGGGGGGCAGGAGGGGGGAAUCUUGCGGAAUGGGGGAAAGCCUGACGCAGCCAUGCCGCGGGAAUGAUGAAGGUCUUAGGAUUGUAAAAUUCUUUCACCGGGGACGAUAAUGACGGUACCCGGAGAAGAAGCCCCGGCUAACUUCGUG
RNAcentral lists this ribosomal RNA (433 nucleotides) under uncultured bacterium. Its description in RNAcentral is "partial 16S ribosomal RNA". It matches the Rfam family "Bacterial small subunit ribosomal RNA", at positions 29 to 507 of the family's 1533-position model. The record is from RNAcentral.